This 395-nucleotide unclassified non-coding RNA is filed under the name Hevea brasiliensis (rubber tree). The record is from RNAcentral. Lineage: Eukaryota; Viridiplantae; Streptophyta; Magnoliopsida; Malpighiales; Euphorbiaceae.
AUGAAAUAUACAUAAAUAUUUAAAUAUAAAAUAAAUAAUUGCUUAAUAUAAAAUUUAGAUGGAGGGACCAUUUUGUUAACAAAACAAAAUUUGAUGGACAUAAUUCUUUCACAUCGUUUCAAAUUAACUGUAAUUUGGAUGAAGAGACCGUUUUGUGGUUUUUAUAAAUUGUUUCUCAUAAUAAAUACGGGGACUUAGUGGUUUUUGACAUACCUCAUAGACUAAUUUGUUAUUCACCCUUAGUUCAAGCUCUCUAUAAACUUAGCUCUUCCCCUCUGACUCCCCUCCUUUUUUUGGUUUUGUUUAUUUAUUUAUUAUUUAUAGGUAACCAAUCAAUUUGUAGCUGCUAAGUUUGAAACUUUGUAAUUUUGCAGGCCUGUGACAGCGAGGAUGAU